AUUGCUUCUUGGCCUUUUGGCUAAGAUCAAGUGUAGCAUGCCAAUAAGAAAGUGAAAAGACAACUCACAAAAUGGCAGAAUAUAUUUUCGAAUCAUGUGCCUGAUAAGGGAGACUUGUUAUCAAUCAACCAUACAUAAAGAACUCUUACAAGUUAGUAAUAAUAAGAGAACAAAU
Small nuclear RNA from Heterocephalus glaber (naked mole-rat), 175 nucleotides. Its record names the gene U2. It matches the Rfam family "U2 spliceosomal RNA". From Rfam's summary of the family: U2 is a small nuclear RNA (snRNA) component of the spliceosome (involved in pre-mRNA splicing). The record is from Ensembl. Lineage: Eukaryota; Metazoa; Chordata; Mammalia; Rodentia; Bathyergidae.